GCGGGUAUAGCUCCAUUGGUAGAGCGCAUGCUUAGUAUGCACAGGGUCCUGAGUUCAAUCCUCAGUACCUGCA
RNAcentral lists this transfer RNA (73 nucleotides) under Camelus bactrianus (Bactrian camel). It matches the Rfam family "tRNA". From Rfam's summary of the family: Transfer RNA (tRNA) molecules are approximately 80 nucleotides in length. Their secondary structure includes four short double-helical elements and three loops (D, anti-codon, and T loops). Lineage: Eukaryota; Metazoa; Chordata; Mammalia; Artiodactyla; Camelidae. The record is from Rfam by way of RNAcentral. RNAcentral also lists the same sequence under 2 other names.